This 347-nucleotide unclassified non-coding RNA is filed under the name soil metagenome. RNAcentral's name for it is "partial contains 5.8S ribosomal RNA, internal transcribed spacer 2, and large subunit ribosomal RNA". The stretch from base 1 to 120 matches the Rfam family "5.8S ribosomal RNA", at positions 35 to 154 of the family's 154-position model. The record is from RNAcentral.
GAUGAAGAACGUAGUGAAAUGCGAUAAUUAAUGUGAUUUGCAGAAUUCAGUGAAUCAUCGAGUCUUUGAACGCACAUUGCGCCCCCUGGUAUUCCGGGGGGCAUGCCUGUCCGAGCGUCAUUGCUGCCCUCAAGCACGGCUUGUGUGUUGGGCUUCCGUCCCUGGCAACGGGGACGGGCCCAAAAGGCAGUGGCUGCACCAUGUCUGGUCCUCGAGCGUAUGGGGCUUUGUCACCCGCUCCCGUAGGUCCAGCUGGCAGCUAGCCUCGCAACCAAUCUUUUUAACCAGGUUGACCUCGGAUCAGGUAGGGAUACCCGCUGAACUUAAGCAUAUCAAUAAGCGGAGGA